Molecule: long non-coding RNA, 5262 nt
Organism: Myzus persicae (green peach aphid)
Lineage: Eukaryota; Metazoa; Arthropoda; Insecta; Hemiptera; Aphididae
Exons: 3
Source: RefSeq, a predicted model, not a curated record
AUAUGAUAAAUAUAUUAUCUAUCAUUAUAAUUUUGAAAUUUAAAUUGAAUGGUUUUGCACUUUUUACUGGUGUAUAAACAUAUAAGAAGUGUUAUCUCUUAGCAGGUAGCCUGGUAAUUUUCUUAUGUGGAUUUUAAAAAUGUUAUAAACAUUCGUUGUUCUUUAAAAACUCAUAUUAUCAUUAUUCAUUACAGUUGAUUUGUGGAAUAAUAAAUUGAUAAAUGGACGUGCCGAAGGAGGCAAGUAUUUGAAUUCGAUCUUUGUGUACAAAAACUAUUUUUGAUAGAAUAUUAGGUAUACAUUGUUUAUACUUACUACUCUUAUAUUAUACUACAUAUCAUAAGCAGCAAAAUAUGAAAAAAUUGUAUAAUAAUAUAUUAGUUAUAAAUCAACGAUUUCAGCAGAAUCCGAGGAUCACAUCUUGAAUUUAUCUGUUACUUUUACUGUCCCAAUUUAAAGUAACAGGCCCACUACAUUGGAUGAGUGAUUUAUAUUUAUGUCAAUGUUUUGACUAUACUUCAAUUCCCCUCAAAUUGGCCAACACAUGAUGUAUUCCUUGCAUUGGGGUGAAAUCAGGAAUUGUAAAAUAACUGAACUAUUAUAAUUUAGAUUUAUUCAAUACAAAGGACUGGGAAGAAAGAUAUAUGAGAUUCAGUAAGUAUAUAUUAAUUAUUUAUAUUAUUGAAUAUGAAUAUUUAAUACGAUAGCUAGGUACCCUUUAUGAACAAUAUGAUAAAAUAUUUUAUAUACUAAAUAAGUAAUCGGUUUCAUUGAGUAAAAACAACUGCAAAAAAAUUUUGAAAUUAAACUACUCCGAUAUCUUAAAACUCAGUUAACUACAAAGAGAGUCUUAUCCCUCCUACACUCUUUUCGUUUAAAAUUAUAUUUUAUUUUAUUUUAAUAUUUUAUGACUCAUUGAAAUAAUGUCAAUAUAAUAUUAUACAUAUAGUUACUUUUUGUGCCACUCGAAUUAUUUUCUGGUAACGUUAUCACAAUUGUCACAGAAUUAAUAUAGUAAUCAGUUGAAAAUUCAUGUUAUGAGGUUGUUGGAAAACAUACGUUGCAUAAUAGCAUACAAUUUCGGAAUGCAGUCGGUUGCCACUCUCACUGGUCGAUAGUCGUGAAAUAAAACUGCAACAGUUAUAAUAACGUUCACUAUAGUCAUAAACUUGCUCAAUCAAACUAUUCCUGAUCACCCGCGUACAUUCUAUGAUAAAGAAUAAGUAUCAAUGUGUACCAGUAAUUACCACAAAAGCUCAGGGUGAGCAAGGGUGACAAGGAUAUAUUAUGGUCUACAUAUUAUACAAAGUAUAAUAUGACGCAAUCAUUCAAUGGAAAAUUAAUUGACAAAGAAUAAGGAAUACGUCCCGCCGACGAAUAAGUCUCAGCGAUAUCCAAAAGGGGAAGAGCAACCGAUACCGAUAGCAACGAACGAUGCCAGGUGACUCUAUCACACAACCAGCGAUCAGAUGUCUAUCGGCGUGACUAAACGAAAACAACACCGACACUAGAAAACAACAACCGUUUUCAACUAUAAUAGUGACCAGCGGCGCACGAGCAGGCCGACGACAACCAGCGUUUAAGCCGCGAAAAGGCCGCGGUGCCACCAAGUCACUCCAACCUCGACUAAACACGGACCUGCGACGACGGAUCCAUUCAUGGAUUAACAGACCCUCGCCGAUAUCAGACCUUGGCGGGCAGGAAGUCCGCGAGCAAUAACCAAUCACAGCGACUCAGUGCGCGGACCAUUAUGCCUAAAAUGAGAGUGUGGAGCACAAAAUCGCUCAGUUGUCUAUCUGACCUUAACGUAGCAAGUUCCGACUAGGACAGACUUACGCGGUUAAUAAACAAAUACACUCCGUUGCUAACGUCCAAACCAAACUAAGCAGAAGGAUUCAGAUGGUUCACUGAAUUUCAUUUCUUUUGGGAACAGUUAGCUAACAGUCGAGGUGCACAGGGUUUGGUUCCAGUUAGUGAGGCCAAACUAGAUGGUUAGGUAAAGGGCCGGACUGUGUCUACAGGGAAAAUAAAAAUAAUCAGCCAACUUCAGCAUUUCUUCUUUUGUAAAUUAAACAUAUGUUUAGACUCCUGAAUAAACAUUUAUACACAUGAAAUAAUUUUUUAUAUUUCUAAAUUAGAAUUGUAAGAGCUUUCUUUUAGUUCUAACAGCUGUUACUUCUUAAAGUAAUGUUUUAUGGUUCAGAUCUCAAGUUAGUUAUGCUAUUGUCUUGAUUUACUAUAUGCCCAACUUAUUUUGUAAAUGCUUCUUUUGGAAUUUUUCUAUUGAAUCUCCAAGGUUGUAAAAAAGCACAAUCGGUUAGAAAUUCACUGCCACUUAAACUUCUUAUUUCCAUACUAUUGAUUAGUUUAUCAAAUAUAACAUUAUACACAUCGACAACAAACUUUCGAUAAGCAGUAGGUUGUAUGUAUUCUUCAAUAGAAUCUCCAUCCAUAAUAAUUUUUAUUGUUAAUUUUAAUUUUCCGGAAAAUUAUCUUGAACAGUUAUUUCAAUAUUUUCAUGCUCGAAAUAAUUAUUGGCCCAAUUGGAAAAAUGUUUUCACUUUUUCUGCUUCAACAACUAAACGGGGACUUUUCUAAAGUAAUUUCUACCAUUUUACGUGCUUGAAGAACAUCCGUAUUCUGAGUUAAAUAUGUUAGCAAGUGCAGUGGUGUGCUCAAAAUUAUUUUUUGGGGUGGUUCACGUGCUUCUGUGCACCAUACCACGAGCCCUUAACAGAUAAACCCUAAAAAGAAACGUCCCUAUGAGUACAGGCGUGACGAAUAACCGGUAGUGUAUACUUUGCCGAUGCCAGAGCCGAGGCUUACCUCAGUGCGAGGCAAAGUGCUAGACGGGAAGCACUGAAUAUUCAAUAUUGUGGUCUCUAUGUUUGUUCGGUGAGAACUUGUUUUUCUAGGUCAUAUUUCAUGGUAUCUUGUUGGCCAGUUCAUUGGUUGGUCGUUGAAAAUGUUUGAUUUGUUGUUAUACAAUCUUUUUUAAUAAAAGGUAAGAACGUAAGGUUGAUAGAAAAAUAGUGUAUAUUUUAAUACAAUGUAAAUAUUCGUUAUAAUUUCAAACAUUUUAUUAUCAUUAUUCAUUACAGGUGAAAUGGAUGAUGCAAAAUUAAAAGAGAAGUUCGAUGGCGGUAAAUAUUUAGUUUCGAUCUUAGUUUAUUAAAUCUAUUUUUGAUAGUAUAUCAUUCAUUGGUUAUACUUACUACUCUUAUAUUCUACUACAUAUCUGGAUCAGUAAAAUAUAAAAACUAUACAUAAUAUAAUAUGUGCCACAGUCAAAUGUUCAUCGGGGCUACAUUAGUUCACACAGAGAAUACUACCGACGCUGAUUUGCCCGUGGACAAGAUACACUAAAACUAUGAACACCAAGAUGACUAGAUAGUACUAUAGGUUAUAUGUACCAGUAUAUUGUGAGCUGUAAUAAGAAAAUCGAAGAAGGUGCAGUUAAAAUUGAGCCUGUAGAGUUUUGUUUAACAUUGCAUGAGAAUAGUUAAAUAAUACACUUAUCAUAAUAAAGUUAUCUAAAUUUAUUUCUGGUAAUUAAAUGUGAGUGAAUUCUUACUUUAUUAGAAAAGAUGUUUUCAUGUAGUUAUACUUAAUCAAUAUUUAAUAUAAUGCGUAUUUAUUAUAGAUUUAUCUAUAAUAAUAUUUCUAAUUAAAUGUACUAAUAACAUCGUUUUAUUCGAUAGAGCAUGAUUUUUCCAUAUUGUGUUAUGUAGUUAGUAACGCCACACUAUCAUUGAACUUCUUCAUUUUUUUAAUACGUGCACAUGUUAUUAUUACUUUAAAUUUCACAAUUAGUAGAUUAAUAAAACUAAAUGUUAUAUGGUCGAGUUUUACUCCUGGGUAGUUACUCUUCUCAAGUGUGCAACUCCAAUAUAUCUUUAUGUGCAUAUUAUGCUUACUGUAAAAAUAUUAUCGACCGUAAAAUAUUUACUCAGGUAAAUUAAUAAUAUUUAUAAUCAUUUGUACGUAUUGUGUAAAUUAAUGCUUAAUAAAGUCAUAUCUACUAAAUGUAAUACUUUUGCAUUUUGUCAUUUAGUCUGUUAAUAUAUUCUCCUUUUCUAUAUUGUGUUCUGAUUUUUCCUUAGCUCUUCAAUUCUGCUUUAAAUAUAUUUAUUUGUUAACGUUGUUACUGCAGAUUCUGCAAUUAUUGUGAUUGUCGGCAACGACUAGCGAAUUGUAUUGAGUACGAGAGCUGGAGGGAUUACCCAAACAAAUGAAUACAUUUAAAUUUCAUUAGAAUACAAUUUUUUCAGCGCCAAGCCCAUAAUAUAUAUAUAUGAAUUGCACAGCUAAGACUUGAGACGAUGUUAAGCCUCGUGAUCUCUCGAAGUAUUGCAUCGGUACAUAAGAGCAGCGAACGAACACAACACUUGAGAAAAGACAGUUCGAAACCUGUAUGCCAACGGGAUGGCUAGUAACCUUCGAUAUCCGCAAAACCGUUCCGGAUUCGGACAGUAUUAUAGAUUGGAUUUCCAUGAGUGCAUCAAUAAAAAUAUUUAUACGUUUUAAUUAUUAUUUUAUUAAUAACUUCAUUCGUUUCAAUAACAGUUUUUAGUAAUUUAGGGUGGACAUAGUUGAUAGAAUAUUUCAUAAGAGCCGUAUCUGACAUAGAGCAUUUAUUUACGUUUUCUCCCUGAAUUCGGAAUGUAAAAGUUUAGAAUCGUAUGUAAUAAUAUGAAGAUGGUACAACGUCGUUUAUUCCUUUACACCUGGGGCCUAGUUCUGCAGAGGGUAUAACUGUUAACAGAAGGGUUAUAUAUAUGUUUUUUUUUAACAGACAAAAUUGAUUGUUUAACCCUUUCAAAUUUAUUAAAAAAUCCUUUGCAAUCUUUGAACUUAAAAAUUGAAAACAUUAGAGGACAAUUCUACGAUGGAUCUGCCACAAUGCGUAGUUUUUAUUCUGGUACAGCAAACGAAUACAAGAUGAAGCUUUGUAUAUCCAUUCUUAUUCACUUAUAUAUAAUUUGUGAGUAGUUGAUGUUUGUGGAAAAGUAUUAUGAUAUAAGUAAUUAUCAUUAUAUUUUCAUCCCUUUUCCUAGGGUGCUCAUUGCUCUUACCAGCUUGACAAGCCUUUUUUUGUUUGUGUUUAUUUCUCCAUGCAUCGUAUAUUCUGCGAGUUCUUCGUUGUGGUAAGGCUAGGUGGUCGUUGUGUUCGGGUUGUAAUUAUUUUUUUGUUUUUAUAUCCAUCCCCGGCGCUACUCGUGUAGAAUGCAAUCCGCCAUGAAAUGUAUCACAUUUAAGUUG